Parus major (Great Tit) is the source of this 2170-nucleotide long non-coding RNA. RefSeq lists it as uncharacterized. The transcript has 3 exons. Lineage: Eukaryota; Metazoa; Chordata; Aves; Passeriformes; Paridae. The record is from RefSeq and is a predicted model, not a curated record.
GCCAGGGAACUGAAAGAGCAGUUCAUCCCCUGCUUCAGUGAUUUCUUACGAGAUCCAUUGGAGUGGCCCAGCACGUCAGGACCAGAUUCUACUGGCAUCAGACCUGCCUGUAUGUCUAUUAUCACAUGCAGCCUUGCACUUCACAUGGAUAUCCACUGAGUUGCUAGAUGAAUCUUCACUGCACCGUCCCAGCAGAUGAACCCAGCCUAAACUUCUACUACUGCACCUGCACAGCUGCCUUGCCACCACUGCUUGUUUGUCAAGGAAGAAGGGACAGAUCACCAGUGGGUGGUGAGCUGAAGGUAACUUUGGAGGUACUGGGAGGUUGCAGCUGAAAUAUACAACACUGAUACUGUGACAUCCAGAGGAAAAUGAAAUCCAUAUCCUAAGACUGGAACGGCAGUAAGCCACAGUGCCUGGGCCAUCCUGAAACAUGAAGGGAGAGCAUAUCUGGUCCAGCUACAGAAAAUCUCUGGAAGAAAUUCAUUCCUUGGACUUUUAGCACGGUUUUUGCCAUAAAAUAUCAACCCUUAAAUAGUUACUUAAAAUUUUGAAAAUCUCGCUGCCAUUUUUAUGCUUUGAUAUAUGCCUGCCUUUGACUAAACAAAAGGAAGUUUCCAUUGGCCUUUUUUUCUAUUUUUUCUCCUUUGCACUCUGAGCCUGGAAACUUAAACUUUCAAUACUUUCUGCUGUUGCCAUAUCUGAUGAGUAUCACCUGCCUUAGCAUUCGCCACACUGUCAGCAGUUGUUAACCCCCCUUGGCAGAUUUUUGUUUGUUAACUUAGCUUGUCAUUGCCAGCCUUGAGGUUAUGCACACACAGAUGGCUUAUAGGCCUCGCUUUUCCUUUGUGUUUAUUGUAAUUGGAGCUAAAGAAGGAACUUGUAGCAAGCAAUUUAUUUUACAAAUUUUCAUUUUUUCCCCAUUCCUUCUCACUGCCCAUCCACUGAUCUUGAAUCUAGCCAUCAUUUCAUCAUUUCUGAAUAAAUUCAGAGAAAAAAAAAUGCCCAACAAUUGAAUUGUAAACAAGUCACUGGCACACUUUGCUUUGCCAGAUUUGAGUUGUUAGAGAAGCAGCCUGUUCAUAUAUUCCACUGUUACUUGUUUCCUACAUUAACUUUAGGACUGAGUGCCUGGAAUUGUAUGCAAAUGCUGACAUUAAUAGAUGUGAAAAUUUGAUUUUGUGGUAAUUUUUCUACAUGUAAUUAAGCUCUCUUAGCCUUUACUCUUUCCACAAAAAAAUCUUCCUAUUUCCAAAUUUUACUCAUGAGUAGAGUUAUGCUAGGAGCUCUACAGUGUACCUUGAUGAGUGCAAGAAAUAAGAAAAAGAGGAGAACAUCAUGCCUUUAUAAAAAACAUGUCUAAUAUGAAGAGUAAUAUUCACUUAAUUCAAUUUACUAUUCUGAAUGAGCUCCAUGGCUUUCAAAAGAGCACAAAGCAAAUGCAGUUCCUGUGUGAAACUAUCACUUUUGCCUAUGUCUGCCUUGUUUUUGCAGCAUAAUUCCUUUUCUGGUACCAAGAAUAUCUUAAAUCUGACCUGAGUUUUAGGGUGGGCAUGACUAGCAGCAAUUCAUGCACAAAAAGUCACUUGCACUGUUGGCUGAGCCUACUCUUCCUUUUUUUAUUAUUAGCAAAUUAUUUUAGAAUACUGAUCCUAUGCGCAAAUAAAUGAAAGAUACUACAAGCUAGAGAUUUAAAAAAAAAAACAAACAACACAUUAAAGAACACCAAAACCAACAAAGAAAUAAACACACUACCACAAAAAACCCACACACAGGUUUAUCUGCUCCAGCAAGACCAAAAUGCUUGUCAGAGAACUUCCAGAAGGUAAGAGACAUAACUUUAUUAACUAGGAAUCCAUUUCAGAAAAAAGAAAAAAUAAACACCUUCUUUGGCCUUGAAGAUCCCAGUAAAGUGCCCUGUGGGAGGAGAGUCACCACAAGAAGCAGUCACCCUCUUCACAGAAGGCUUACUUUCAGUGGUAAAAAACCAUCUUAUCCAUGUGCAGCUGCCAGUAAUGGCUCUUGUUAUGUGUUAGAACAGCAGCUCUCUCGCAGAGCUACAAAGUGCUGUUAGUGUCUUCUUUCCCCCUCCUAACAUAUCAAUGCACAUGUAGCAUAAUUCAUGGACUUGAUCCAAUAAAACUGAGAAAAUAUUUCAUGAUUUCCCAUA